Molecule: ribosomal RNA, 496 nt
Filed under: uncultured bacterium
Lineage: Bacteria
Description: partial 16S ribosomal RNA
Rfam family: Bacterial small subunit ribosomal RNA
Source: RNAcentral
GAUGAACGCUGGCGGCGUGCCUAAUACAUGCAAGUCGAGCGAACAGACGAGUAUCUUGCUCCUCUGACGUUAGCGGCGUACGGGUGCGUAACACUUGGAUAACCUACCUAUCUGACUGGGAUAACUUCGGGACCCCGGAGCUAAUACCGGAUAAUAUAUUGCACCGCAUGGUUCAAUAGUGACUGACGGUUUUGCUGUCACUUCUAGAUGGUUCCGCGCCGCAUUAGCUAGUUGGUAAGGUAACGGCUUACCAAGGCAACGAUGCGUAGCCGACCUGCGAGGGGGAUCGGCCACACUGGAAAUGAGACACGGGCCAGAGGCGGACGGGAGGCAGCAGGAGGGAAGCUGCCGCAAUGGGCGAAAGACUGACGGAGCAACGGCGCGUGAGUGAUGAAGGUAUGCGGAGCGGAAAACGCUGGUAUUAGGGAAGAAAAAAGGUGUAAGUAACGAAGCACGUCUGGACGGUACCGAAGCAGAAGGCCACGGCUAACUACGG